GUGGGGAAUCUUAGACAAUGGGGGCAACCCUGAUCUAGCCAUGCCGCGUGAGUGAUGAAGGCCUUAGGGUCGUAAAGCUCUUUCGCUGGGGAAGAUAAUGACGGUACCCAGUAAAGAAACCCCGGCUAACUCCGUGCCAGCAGCCGCGGUAAUACGGAGGGGGUUAGCGUUGUUCGGAAUUACUGGGCGUAAAGCGCGCGUAGGCGGAUUGGAAAGUUGGGGGUGAAAUCCCGGGGCUCAACCCUGGAAUGGCCUUCAAAACUCCCAGUCUUGAGGUCGAGAGAGGUGAGUGGAAUUCCGAGUGUAGAGGUGAAAUUCGUAGAUAUUCGGAGGAACACCAGUGGCGAAGGCGGCUCACUGGCUCGAUACUGACGCUGAGGUGCGAAAGCGUGGGGAGCAAACAGGAUUAGAAACCCCGGUAGUCC
This 425-nucleotide ribosomal RNA is filed under the name uncultured bacterium. Its description in RNAcentral is "partial 16S ribosomal RNA". It matches the Rfam family "Bacterial small subunit ribosomal RNA", at positions 354 to 796 of the family's 1533-position model. The record is from RNAcentral.